UACGAAGGGGGCUAGCGUUGUUCGGAAUUACUGGGCGUAAAGGGCGCGUAGGCGGACGAUUAAGUCAGGGGUGAAAUCCCAGGGCUCAACCCUGGAACUGCCUUUGAUACUGGCCGUCUGGAGUUCGGGAGAGGUGAGUGGAAUUCCGAGUGUAGAGGUGAAAUUCGUAGAUAUUCGGAGGAACACCAGAAGCGAAGGCGGCUCACUGGCCCGAGACUGACGCUGAGGCGCGAAAGCGUGGGGAGCAAACAGG
RNAcentral lists this ribosomal RNA (253 nucleotides) under uncultured bacterium. RNAcentral's name for it is "partial 16S ribosomal RNA". It matches the Rfam family "Bacterial small subunit ribosomal RNA", at positions 524 to 776 of the family's 1533-position model. The record is from RNAcentral.